RNAcentral lists this ribosomal RNA (492 nucleotides) under uncultured bacterium. Its description in RNAcentral is "partial 16S ribosomal RNA". It matches the Rfam family "Bacterial small subunit ribosomal RNA", at positions 29 to 507 of the family's 1533-position model. The record is from RNAcentral.
AGUGAACGCUGGCGGUAGGCCUAACACAUGCAAGUCGAACGGCAGCACAGUAAGAGCUUGCUCUUACGGGUGGCGAGUGGCGGACGGGUGAGGAAUACAUCGGAAUCUACUUUUUCGUGGGGGAUAACGUAGGGAAACUUACGCUAAUACCGCAUACGACCUACGGGUGAAAGCAGGGGAUCUUCGGACCUUGCGCGAUUGAAUGAGCCGAUGUCGGUUUAGCUAGUUGGCGGGGUAAAGGCCCACCAAGGCGACGAUCCGUAGCUGGUCUGAGAGGAUGAUCAGCCACACUGGAACUGAGACACGGUCCAGACUCCUACGGGAGGCAGCAGUGGGGAAUAUUGGACAAUGGGCGCAAGCCUGAUCCAGCCAUACCGCGUGGGUGAAGAAGGCCUUCGGGUUGUAAAGCCCUUUUGUUGGGAAAGAAAAGCAGCAGGUUAAUACCACGCUGUUCUGACGGUACCCAAAGAAUAAGCACCGGCUAACUUCGUG